This 120-nucleotide ribosomal RNA is filed under the name Xenopus laevis (African clawed frog). Lineage: Eukaryota; Metazoa; Chordata; Amphibia; Anura; Pipidae. The record is from RNAcentral.
UUCUACGGCCACACCCCCCUUGAAUAUGCCCAAUCUCGUCUAAUCUCGGAAGCGAUCCAGGGCCGGGCCUGGUUAGUACCUGGAUGGGAGACCACCUGGGAAUACCAGGUGUCGUAGACU